AACCAUGCACCGAAGCUGCGGCAGCGACGUUUAUGCGUUGUUGGGUAGGGGAGCGUUCUGUAAGCCUGCGAAGGUGGCCUGUGAGGGUUGCUGGAGGUAUCAGAAGUGCGAAUGCUGACAUAAGUAACGAUAAAGCGGGUGAAAAGCCCGCUCGCCGGAAGACCAAGGGUUCCUGUCCAACGUUAAUCGGGGCAGGGUGAGUCGACCCCUAAGGCGAGGCCGAAAGGCGUAGUCGAUGGGAAACGGGUUAAUAUUCCCGUACUUGGUGUUACUGCGAAGGGGGGACGGAGAAGGCUAUGUUGGCCGGGCGACGGUUGUCCCGGUUUAAGCGUGUAGGUGUGUGUUCCAGGUAAAUCCGGUUCACUUUAACACUGAGGCGUGAUGACGAGGCACUACGGUGCUGAAGCAACAAAUGCCCUGCUUCCAGGAAAAGCCUCUAAGCAUCAGGUAACACGAAAUCGUACCCCAAACCGACACAGGUGGUCAGGUAGAGAAUACCAAGGCGCUUGAGAGAACUCGGGUGAAGGAACUAGGCAAAAUGGUGCCGUAACUUCGGGAGAAGGCACGCUGACACGUAGGUGAAGUGAUUUACUCAUGGAGCUGAAGUCAGUCGAAGAUACCAGCUGGCUGCAACUGUUUAUUAAAAACACAGCACUGUGCAAACACGAAAGUGGACGUAUACGGUGUGACGCCUGCCCGGUGCCGGAAGGUUAAUUGAUGGGGUCAGCGCAAGCGAAGCUCCUGAUCGAAGCCCCGGUAAACGGCGGCCGUAACUAUAACGGUCCUAAGGUAGCGAAAUUCCUUGUCGGGUAAGUUCCGACCUGCACGAAUGGCGUAAUGAUGGCCAGGCUGUCUCCACCCGAGACUCAGUGAAAUUGAACUCGCUGUGAAGAUGCAGUGUACCCGCGGCAAGACGGAAAGACCCCGUGAACCUUUACUAUAGCUUGACACUGAACAUUGAGCCUUGAUGUGUAGGAUAGGUGGGAGGCUUUGAAGUGUGGACGCCAGUCUGCAUGGAGCCGACCUUGAAAUACCACCCUUUAAUGUUUGAUGUUCUAACGUGGACCCGUUACCCGGGUUGCGGACAGUGUCUGGUGGGUAGUUUGACUGGGGCGGUCUCCUCCUAAAGAGUAACGGAGGAGCACGAAGGUUGGCUAAUCCUGGUCGGACAUCAGGAGGUUAGUGCAAUGGCAUAAGCCAGCUUGACUGCGAGCGUGACGGCGCGAGCAGGUGCGAAAGCAGGUCAUAGUGAUCCGGUGGUUCUGAAUGGAAGGGCCAUCGCUCAACGGAUAAAAGGUACUCCGGGGAUAACAGGCUGAUACCGCCCAAGAGUUCAUAUCGACGGCGGUGUUUGGCACCUCGAUGUCGGCUCAUCACAUCCUGGGGCUGAAGUAGGUCCCAAGGGUAUGGCUGUUCGCCAUUUAAAGUGGUACGCGAGCUGGGUUUAGAACGUCGUGAGACAGUUCGGUCCCUAUCUGCCGUGGGCGCUGGAGAACUGAGGGGGGCUGCUCCUAGUACGAGAGGACCGGAGUGGACGCAUCACUGGUGUUCGGGUUGUCAUGCCAAUGGCACUGCCCGGUAGCUAAAUGCGGAAGAGAUAAGUGCUGAAAGCAUCUAAGCACGAAACUUGCCCCGAGAUGAGUUCUCCCUGAGACUUAGAGUCUCCUGAAGGAACGUUGAAGACGACGACGUUGAUAGGCCGGGUGUGUAAGCGCAGCGAUGCGUUGAGCUAACCGGUACUAAUGAACCGUGAGGCUUAACCUUACAACG
This 1770-nucleotide ribosomal RNA is filed under the name Salmonella enterica subsp. enterica serovar Bovismorbificans. RNAcentral describes it as "partial 23S ribosomal RNA". It matches the Rfam family "Bacterial large subunit ribosomal RNA", at positions 1185 to 2925 of the family's 2925-position model. Lineage: Bacteria; Pseudomonadati; Pseudomonadota; Gammaproteobacteria; Enterobacterales; Enterobacteriaceae. The record is from RNAcentral.